Molecule: ribosomal RNA, 468 nt
Filed under: uncultured bacterium
Lineage: Bacteria
Description: partial 16S ribosomal RNA
Rfam family: Bacterial small subunit ribosomal RNA
Source: RNAcentral
GACGAACGCUGGCGGCGUGCUUAACACAUGCAAGUCGAACGGAAAGGCCCUGCUUUUGUGGGGUGCUCGAGUGGCGAACGGGUGAGUAACACGUGAGUAACCUGCCCUUGACUUUGGGAUAACUUCAGGAAACUGGGGCUAAUACCGGAUAGGAGCUCCUGCUGCAUGGUGGGGGUUGGAAAGUUUCGGCGGUUGGGGAUGGACUCGCGGCUUAUCAGCUUGUUGGUGGGGUAGUGGCUUACCAAGGCUUUGACGGGUAGCCGGCCUGAGAGGGUGACCGGCCACAUUGGGACUGAGAGACGGCCCAGACUCCUACGGGAGGCAGUAGGGGGGAAUAUGGCACAAUGGGCGGAAGCCUGAUGCAGCAACGCCGCGUGCGGGAUGACGGCCUUCGGGUUGUAAACCGCUUUCGCCUGUGACGAAGCGUGAGUGACGGUAAUGGGUAAAGAAGCACCGGCUAACUACGUG